CUCCAAUGAGGAGGAAACAUCCUGCCUCAGCCCUGUUCUAGCCUGGGAACCAGUAAUUGUGAACCCACCAGGAUUAACUGAAAAAGGGCAUGAGAGCUUAUUCCAUAAGCUGUCUGAGGCAU
Small nucleolar RNA from Cercocebus atys (sooty mangabey), 122 nucleotides. Its record names the gene SNORD22. It matches the Rfam family "Small nucleolar RNA SNORD22". From Rfam's summary of the family: U22 is a member of the C/D class of snoRNA which contain the C (UGAUGA) and D (CUGA) box motifs. U22 is encoded within the U22 snoRNA host gene (UHG) in mammals and has also been identified in Xenopus. U22 is thought to as a 2'-O-ribose methylation guide for ribosomal RNA. The record is from Ensembl. NCBI's taxonomy places the organism in Eukaryota, Metazoa, Chordata, Mammalia, Primates, Cercopithecidae.